Molecule: ribosomal RNA, 253 nt
Filed under: uncultured bacterium
Lineage: Bacteria
Description: partial 16S ribosomal RNA
Rfam family: Bacterial small subunit ribosomal RNA
Source: RNAcentral
UACGAAGGGGGCUAGCGUUGCUCGGAAUCACUGGGCGUAAAGGGUGCGUAGGCGGGUCUUUAAGUCAGGGGUGAAAUCCUGGAGCUCAACUCCAGAACUGCCUUUGAUACUGAAGAUCUUGAGUUCGGGAGAGGUGAGUGGAACUGCGAGUGUGGAGGUGAAAUUCGUAGAUAUUCGCAAGAACACCAGUGGCGAAGGCGGCUCACUGGCCCGGUACUGACGCUGAGGUGCGAAAGCGUGGGGAGCAAACAGG